Molecule: ribosomal RNA, 89 nt
Filed under: Callistachys lanceolata
Lineage: Eukaryota; Viridiplantae; Streptophyta; Magnoliopsida; Fabales; Fabaceae
Source: RNAcentral
GGAUCCCAUCAGAACUCCGCAGUUAAGCGUGCUUGGGCGAGAGUAGUACUAGGAUAGGUGACCUCCUGGGAAGUCCUCGUGUUGCACUU